RNAcentral lists this long non-coding RNA (1783 nucleotides) under Capsicum annuum. Its description in RNAcentral is "long non-coding RNA (CANN_LNC014905)". Lineage: Eukaryota; Viridiplantae; Streptophyta; Magnoliopsida; Solanales; Solanaceae. The record is from RNAcentral.
UAUGAAGCCUCUACUAGUACUAAUUAUAGGUAGUCGGGUCAUAACUCCCAACUAUCCCAACUCAAUACGACUGAUUAAAGAAAAUAUAUAAAAAAAAUACUUCUCAAACUGUAAAACUGACUCGAGACCUUGGAUCAAAAGGACUCAUCACCUGCUGACUGGAAGCUGCAACUGACUGAACGUGGUAUGUGUGCUACAACUCGUACCUACAUUAUGAGACAAUGUAGCUCAUAGACAUAUAUGUGGGUCAGCACUUUGGGAAUGUACUGAGUAUAUGUGGGUGUAUGCAAUAUUUAAAUAAUAUCAUCAAUCUUUAUAGAAAUCAUGCAUGCAAAAUGUAAAUGACUCACAUAGCUUGAGUUUUCUUAAAGCUUAAUCUCAUAAAUCAGGAAUAGCAAAAUACAUAGUAUAAAUCUCAUGCGUCAUUACACUUAGUUCUAAAAACUAUACUUUAACUCUUUAAAUCGUACUGUCUAAGUGUAAAAAGGGACUCACUCUAAAAUAUGAAAUCUGCAGAUAAACUCUGUAACUCAAAUCUUUCUGUAAAUUAUAGUCUGACAUAUAGUUGUGAACCUUUACACUUAGUUUCAAAAAUCCUUUCUGUUCUAAAAUCUAUAGUCUGUGAACUUUAAAACUUUAAGGAAACAUACAUUAUCUUGAGGAGAUGCUUUUAUAAGCCUUUCUUUACUAAUAGAAAAAUCACUUACUCAAAGCUUUAGGGGAAAAUACAUCAGGAAAUUAAUCUAGAAACUUUAUUAUUAGGAAAAUAACUUCUCUUAAGAAAAAUAUCUUAUUUCAAGGGAGGUUCUAUUAACCGACAUAAACCAUGCGAGUUACAUGGAGUCCAACAUUUUGUCCUCCUAAGGAAGAAGUCCCACGUUGGGGAGGAGCGUUAUACUCUUGCUUGGGAGUAUAACCUUAACUCAGUGAUCACAAACUCGACCUCAGGCCCAUUAAUCUCAAUCCUAUGGUGGCACAUAGUUCUGGGGUAUGAGAUAUCAGAAUCAUACCCAACUCAGUGCUAAAUACUACUCCCUUAUUAUUUACUUGCUCCUCUUAUUGGAAAUCUACUUUUAAAAAUACAAUCUCAUGGUUUAUAAUGAAACCAAACUCAUACAUGUAAUCUGUAAUAAACUCUGAAAAGUGGAUUCCACAUCUGAAUUGGGGAUCCGAAGAUCAAAUAAUGUUUAUACAACUUGAAAAUAAAAUAAUCUUAGGGUGCUUAAAAAGCACAAGUUCUUGAAAAAUAUCAAUACUCAAAAUAGGGUCUAAAGACCCAUAUAUCAAAUUCAUGUAAAUUCAUAGUAAUUCAUCAUGCUCAAUAAGUUUUCUUGAAAAUUUCUCAUCAAUAUCAACAUAAAUUUCGAGAGUCAUAAUAUCAUGCUUAAACUCAAUUGAAAUCUGAAAUCAAUAUCUCAUAACAUAUUCAUGGCAUUCAAAAUCAUGAAAAUAGCAUUCUUUAACUCAAGCAACCAUGGAAUGUCAUAAUUUAAUCAUAUCAUGCUCAAAAUCAUCAAUAAGAAACUUUGGGCAUAACCCAACAUUCAAAAUCAUGAGAAAUUCACAUGAAAACAUAAUUUUGGGCACAAAGGUGAAAGAAUUGCCCUUGUUCAAACCCCACAUACCUUAGAUUAUGAAAUUUGGAUGAACACUUGCUUUUGGGACUCUAUUUGUGCUUUUGAUGCAUGAUUCUUGAAGAUCUUAGUUUGGGGAUUCUAAUUGUUGAAUCAAUUUUGGAAUUUGACGGUGAAAUUUUGAGGGAUCUUGAAUCUUAGGUUGAGGC